Molecule: ribosomal RNA, 796 nt
Filed under: uncultured Methanosarcina sp.
Lineage: Archaea; Methanobacteriati; Methanobacteriota; Methanomicrobia; Methanosarcinales; Methanosarcinaceae
Description: bacterial SSU rRNA
Rfam family: Archaeal small subunit ribosomal RNA
Source: RNAcentral
ACGGCUCAGUAACACGUGGAUAACCUGCCCUUGGGUCUGGCAUAACCCCGGGAAACUGGGGAUAAUUCCGGAUAACGCAUAUAUGCUGGAAUGCUUUAUGCGUAAAAUGGAUUCGUCCGCCCAAGGAUGGGUCUGCGGCCUAUCAGGUAGUAGUGGGUGUAAUGUACCUACUAGCCUACAACGGGUACGGGUUGUGAGAGCAAGAGCCCGGAGAUGGAUUCUGAGACAUGAAUCCAGGCCCUACGGGGCGCAGCAGGCGCGAAAACUUUACAAUGCGGGAAACCGUGAUAAGGGGACACCGAGUGCUAGCAUCAUAUGCUGGCUGUCCAGGUGUGUAAAAUACACCUGUUAGCAAGGGCCGGGCAAGACCGGUGCCAGCCGCCGCGGUAACACCGGCGGCCCGAGUGGUGAUCGUGAUUAUUGGGUCUAAAGGGUCCGUAGCCGGUUUGGUCAGUCUUCCGGGAAAUCUGAUAGCUCAACUAUUAGGCUUUCGGGGGAUACUGCCAGACUUGGAACCGGGAGAGGUAAGAGGUACUACAGGGGUAGGAGUGAAAUCUUGUAAUCCCUGUGAGACCACCUGUGGCGAAGGCGUCUUACCAGAACGGGUUCGACGGUGAGGGACGAAAGCUGGGGGCACGAACCGGAUUAGAUACCCGGGUAGUCCCAGCCGUAAACGAUGCUCGCUAGGUGUCAGGCAUGGCGCGACCGUGUCUGGUGCCGCAGGGAAGCCGUGAAGCGAGCCACCUGGGAAGUACGGCCGCAAGGCUGAAACUUAAAGGAAUUGGCGGGGGAGCAC